This 3104-nucleotide ribosomal RNA is filed under the name microbial mat metagenome. RNAcentral describes it as "eukaryotic LSU rRNA". It matches the Rfam family "Eukaryotic large subunit ribosomal RNA". The record is from RNAcentral.
GAAGUUCUCUCGCUAAGUACGCACACUCGGGUCUGGCAGCAGGACCCUUGCUCAGGAGCGCCUGAAGUCAAGCAAGACCACCCGCUGAACUUAAGCAUAUUACUAAGCGGAGGAAAAGAAACUAACCAGGAUUGCCUCAGUAACUGCGAGUGAAGCGGCAACAGCUCGUCUUGAAUCGCCUCACGGCGAUAUGUGAGUCACGGCCUUACGUGGGGGAUGACGCGCAACUCGGCUGGAACGCCGGACCAAGGAGGGUGCUAGUCCCGUACCGCGUCGACCUCUGCGGUAGGCUGUGUUGAGCGAGUCGGGCAGUUUGGGAUUGCUGUCCUAACGGGAGGUAGACUCCUUCCAAAGCUAAAUAUCGACAGGAGACCGAUAGCGCACAAGUACUGUGAAGGAAAGAUGAAAAGCACUUUGAAAAGAGAGUUAAAAGACUUGAAAUCGCUGAGGAGGAAGCAGUGCGUACAGCGCAGGAGCCAGUGCAAGGGGACUCACGAGUCCCUGGAAGCUGUCCCGCUGCAGAGUGCAGUGGGUUCUGCGUGAGGCUCUAGGCUGUGUGUCUGGAAGUCUGCGCUAGCCCGCUGAAGGCGCUCCGGCGACUCUGCCGCUGUGCGCACUGACCCGUCUUGAAACACGGACCAAGGAGUCCAACAUGCGUGCGAGUAGGAGGGUGCACACCCCACUGCGCAACGAAAGUGAACCUGUCAAGCAGGGCCGCGUCGAGCGAGCUCAGCAGGCAUGUUGGGACCCGAAAGAUGGUGAACUAUGCUUGGGAAUGGCGAAGCCAGGGGAAACUCUGGUGGAGGCUUGUAGAGAUACUGACGUGCAAAUCGUUCUUCUAACCUGAGUAUAGGGGCGAAAGACUAAUCGAACCAUCUAGUAGCUGGUUCCCUCCGAAAUUUCCCUCAGGAUAGCUGGCGCCAUGCAGUUGUGCCGGGUAAAGCGAAUGACUAGAGGCAGGGAGUUGUAACAACUUUCACCUAUUCUCAAACUUUGAAUCGGCACGAAAGGGGAGUUGCUUCGCUGAACUCCCCUGCGAAUGCAGGCGCCAAGUGGGCCAUUUUUGGUAAGCAGAACUGGCGACGAGGGCUGAACCUAGGGCGAGGUUAAGGCGACUAAUUGGCCGCUCAUCAGACCCCAGAAAAGGCGUUAGUUCAUUUAGACAGUAGGACGGUGGCCAUGGAAGUCGGAACCCGCUAAGGAGUGUGUAACAACUCACCUACCGAAUGGACUAGCCCUGAAAAUGGAUGUCGCUAAGCAGCCAGCCGAUACCUCGCUGUGCGUCUUGUCUGGACGCACAGGUAGGAGGGCGUGAGGGCCGCGGCGAAGUGCGCGUGAGAACGCGUGUGGAGCGACCUUCAGUGCAGAUCUUGGUGGUAGUAGCAAGUAUUCAAAUGAGAACUUUGAAGACUGAAGUGGAGCAGGGUUUCAUGUGAACAGCACUUGGACAUGAGUCACUCGGUCCUGAGUCCAGGGGGAGUCCCGCGAAGACACUGUCCAGGACGAAAGGGAAUGAGGUUAAUAUUCCUCAAGCAGGCGUUGGGUGCUUAGUGGCAACACAAACGAACUCAAAGACGUCGGGGCGAGGUCCCAGGGAGAGUUCUCUUUUCUUCUUAACAAGUCGCUGCCUUGGAGGUCAUUGCGACGAGAGAAGGCUACAGACUUGGAAGAGCAGCACACCCUGAGUGCUGUCUGGUGCGCCUCCCACGGCCCUUGAAAAUUUGAGGGAAGAACUGCACGCCUGACCGUACCGAAACCGCAGCAGGUCUCCGAGGUUAGCAGCCUCUAGUCCGUAGAACAAUGUAGAUAAGGGAAUUCGGCAAACUGGAUCUGUAACUUUGGGAAAAAGAUUGGCUCUGAGGGCUAGGUCGGAGGCCCCGGUUCGUUUCGUGGAGUUCUGCGAGCUGUUGGCAACUUCGGUGAGUGGAAUGAAGCGAGACAGCCGGUAAGUCGAAGACAGCGAAUAGCCGCCUCAGAACUGGAGCAGCGAGAGGAAUCCGACUGUUUAAUUAAAACACAGCAUUGUGAGGGCCUGAAAAGGUGUUGACACAAUGUGAUUUCUGCCCAGUGCUCUGAAUGUCAACGUGAAGAAAUUCAAACAAGCGCGGGUAAACGGCGGGAGUAACUAUGACUCUCUUAAGGUAGCCAAAUGCCUCGUCAUCUAAUUAGUGACGUGCAUGAAUGGAUUAACGAGAUUCCUACUGUCCCUAUCUACUAUCUAGCGAACCCACAGCCAAGGGAACGGGCUUGGCGCAAUCAGCGGGGAAAGAAGACCCUGUUGAGUUUGACUCUAGUCUGGCUUUGUGAAAUGGCGUAGGAGGUGUAGCCAAGUGGGAGCCUUGCGAUCUUGAAAAACCACUACUCUUGAUGUCAUUUUACUUACCCCGUUGGGUUGAAGCCGCUCUGCGGUUCUAGCCUUACAAUCAACGCGGGAGACAGAGCCAGGUGGGGAGUUUGGCUGGGGCGGCACAUCUGUUAAAAGGUAACGCAGGUGUCCUAUGGCAAGCUCAGAGAGAACAGAAAUCUCUUGUCGACCAAAAGGGGAAAAGCUUGCUUGAUUUUGAUUCUCAGUACGAAUGCAAACUGUGAAAGCAUGGCCUAUCGAUCCUUUGCUUUUUACGAGUCUUAAACCAGAGGUGUCAGAAAAAUUACCACAGGGAUAACUGGCUUGUGGCAGCCAAGCGUUCAUAGCGACGUUGCUUUUUGAUCCUUCGAUGUCGGCUCUUCCUAUCAUUGUGACGUGAGACAGGUUAGUUUUACCCUACUGAUGAACGAUGUCGCUACAGUAAUCCAACUUAGUACGAGAGGAACAGUUGGUUCAGAUCACUGGUCACUGCGAUUUCCUGACAAGGAAGUGUCGCCAAGCUACCAUCUGCUUGAUUAUGACUGAACGCCUCUAAGUCAGAAUCCAUGCUGGAACGCGACGUCCUCCAGUCGCCUAUGGAACCACUAACCGCAUUCCGCACCCUGUCCUCUUAACUUCCGCAAUGGAGGAGCGGAGAACAGGCUUCACCCGCGGCGACUGGGACAAAUCCUCUGUAGACCACUCAAACGGAAAGAGGGAUUGUACGUACGAGAGUAAGCUUGUCUUACGAUCUACUGAG